CAAAAAAAAAAAAAAAAAAAAAAAAGUCUAUCAGCAGGGACCUCAACAGCUGUACAAUGGAAUAAUGGAAUAGCAGGCAACUACCAAGAAUGAGUUAGCUCCACACAUAUUGAUGAUAAUUUCAGGGUGGUAUUCACAGUGUACCCUUAUUUUUUGUAAAAGUAGAAAAAUAACUCUUUACAUUUGCUUUUGCCUAUCUGAAUGUAGAGAAACAUAUGGAAGAAAUGCUUGAUUGACCCAGUGAGCGAGAUUGGAGGAAGGAGAGGAAGGGUGAUUUUCUUUAUAACUCUAUUGUUUGACUCCUCACAAAAAGCUUUAUUGCUUCUGUAAAACCAAUUAGGCAAAAUCAAGUAAAUGGUUGCUGGAUGAGUAAAUAGUAAACUUCAGGAAAGAAGUUUUCAGAAAAGGAGGAACACUGUUUCUGUUUCCUCUGAAGAAAACCAAAAUUGGCAGAACAUAUAAUUACAGUAUUAUUAUUCACUUUGCAAAGGAAUUUUCUCUCCCCUAAAAGGAUCUUCGUGGGCUUCUUUUUAAAAGGCAACUCCAGUAAAGCUCUGACGCAUUUCAUCCUCUUCGUCAUGACAUUAACUGCAGUACUUGACAGAGGGUGGGGCUGAGAAAGAGAAAGUUUUAAGAGUCGGUGCCAAUUGAAGAUCAAUCUGCAAUGAGAUAAGCUCCAUUGAUAUUAUAAUGUAAUUAUGGGGGAAAUUAUUACAUUGAAAAAAUUCAAAGUUCACCUAGCUUUUCUGGAGGAGAGGCACCAGAGGAGCCCACUGGGAGGAGAAGGGAAGGUGUCCUGCUUCCCAGGGCUGGGGACCACAGGCAAGGCCAUGGGCUUGAGGGCACUUCUCCAAACUCUAGCAGAUAAAUUAUGCCCAAAUCCCACAUCUUACUGAGAAAGCAGGUGUCUGCAAUUAGUCACAGAAGGGAGGUGGGUGGUCGUGGGCAGAGAAGAAAAAAUUUUUUAAUAAAAAAAUAAAAAUUAGGCAAAAUAGAACUUGACAGUCACCAUGCAAACAGAAGAAACACUACGAAAGUGACAUCAUUAGCAUGGCUGUGGGCCUGUCUUAUCCUUUGGUCUCUAAAGCAGGAGACAAUGAGAGCUACUUACUGACUCAUUUUUAGUAUUUGAUAAAAGAAAAAAAGUCAAUCAAUCAGGCUUACCUUAUUGACUUACUAAUGUCCUUGUCACUAAGGGAUAAUUUUAAAAAGGAUUUUUCUAUCAAAAGAAGAGAAAUCAAUUCAUAGACCUCUUUGGGCUCCAACCCACAAUUCGUAUAGGAUAAAAUCAAGUUUAAAAUAGAGAGUGCACCCAUAAGGUUGAGAAGACAUCUUGUGGUGACUCCUUUGCAUAACAUGAAACAAGGUUGGUUGGCCUUUCUCUGUAAAGAGCAAGAUAGUAAAUAUUUCAGGCUUUCUGGGCCAAGAAAUACAAUCAAGGAUAUUAUGUAGUUACUUGUAUAACAAGAGCAAAACCAUUUUUCCCCACAACUUUUAAAAUAGAUCAAUUUCAAAAUUUUAUGACCAGUACAGUUUGCAUUUUAUAUUGUUUUCAUGUGUCAUGAAAUAAUAUUCUCAUUAAAUUUUCCUGCAAGCAUUUGAAAAUGGAAAAAGCAUUCUUAGCUUGUGGGUCACAUAAAAACAGGUUGUGGCCUGGAUUUGGCCCUGGGGCCAUCAUUUGCUGACCCCCAACAUAGAACACUUCUGAGUCAUGUCAGGGUCCUUAAUCAGUUAGGUCAUCCAAGCUCAGAUUGAACUGGGACAUGGUUUCAGAAUCCUUCUCAACACUGCAUGCCUGCCAUAAUGUGGGUAGGGAGAGGCUGUUGGCUCUGCAGUAGCCACCUGAUGGCUGCUUAAAGGACCGUGAACUCAGUUAUCACCAGCAUUUUCCCUACUCUUUCAGAUCUGGGUGCAGUUGGCUCAGUCCUCCAUCCCCAGCCUCGGGAAAGUCUCUCUCCCAGAUUUCCGCUCCUCCUCAACAAGCUUGCAUGUUGUGCCAAGGAGCAAUCGCUUCUGCUGCUACGAAUUCACUUGCCCUUGUGAAUUCACGUGCCCUUCAUCCUUGCCUCAUCCAGAACAGAGAAUACAAUUAUUUUAAUAUUUUAUGUAUUUUUUAUAAGCCUACAGAGUUUUAAUGGAAGUUUGGAGAGACAAUGGCAGUUUACACAGCAGAAGUAACAGCAUCUGCUCAGUGUCAUUGUUUAAGUCAUCAUCAUAGCUAACACUUCCAGGAAAUUUAUUUCUUUUGCCAGGAGGUUUUCACAUGUUAUUUAAUCCUGCAAUAAUCAGUAGAAAUAGGCUUUUUCUUUUUAACAGUUAUUAUCCUGUUUUACAAAAAAGAAAUGAAGCUUAAGAGAUUGAGCAGCUUGCUAAUCACAGAGCAAGUUAAUGAUAGAGAUGAAUUUUGAACAGUCAAGUCAGGCAGUGACUUAUGCCUGUAAUCCCAGCACUUUGGGAGGCCAAGGCAGGCGGAUCAUUUGAAGUCAGGAGUUCAAGACCAGCCUGGUUAACGUAGUGAAACUCCGUAUGUCUUAAAAAUACAAAAAUUAGUCGGGCAUGGUGGCAAACGCCUAUAGUCAUAGCUACUAGCUAGGCUGAGGUGGGAGGAUCGCUCAAACCUGGGAGGUGUAGGUUGCAGUGAGCUGAGAUUGCUUCAUCUCACUCUAGCCUGGGCGGUAGAGUGAGAUUCCAUCUCAAACAAACAAACAAAAACCACAAUCAAUGACCCAGAAUGCAAUCAAUGACCCAGAGCCCAUGCACCUAAACACAACACAGUUAUCCCUCUACAGCACUUUAAGUGAACAUCAGACUUUGUUGUUGUUGUUGUUGUUGUUGUUGAAAGUUCUUCUAUCACCUCCCUGGGAAUUCUCACUGGCCUGACCACCUCAUAAAAUGUCCUGGCUUCUACCCACGCUCCUGGCUCCUCUCCUUGCCCAUGUCUUUCUCACCUCUUCUCCCAGAUUGUUUUCAUGAACUCUUAAUACCUUGAUCCAAUUCUUUAGAGUAAUUUAGCUCUUGCUAGCUCAUGUUCCCAAACUGAGCUCUAGCAGAAGCCUUCUGAGGGACAUAAUGUCAUUUUACAGGAAGAAACUAUUGAUUGGCCAAUUGCAUGUGGAAAACUAGGAGAAGGCCCAUAAGGAGAAGGUGGAAGAAAUGAAGCACACUAGAAAAUCAGAAAAUUGCGGGAUGUUUUUCUUUCUGAGAGAGAAGAGGGACAGUAAACAAGUGAGAGUGCAUGAAGGCAGAGAAGAUGUAAGACUUUUUAAAAAAAAGAGGUUGCUUUGCCCCAAACUAUUUAGUCAGGUCUUCUACACACAAAAAUGCCUUGUGAGAAAAUGGAGAAUGUGGGAAAUCAAGAAAUGAAGAAUUCGCUGGAGAUAAAUGGUGGGAAAUGAAUGUAAGCUCCCUGAGCAUUUAAAGAAGUUCUGUAAACUUUCCAUAUUGGAUUUUUGACACUGGACUUUCUACAGGGUACAUUAUUGUUAUCUAAAUCUUUGGAAACAGGGUGAAUCUACAUGAUAGAGUGGAAGCCACAAAGGAAGAAGAAGAAGAGAUUCUAUCUGGGUAUGGAGAAUGAAAAAAAAAAAAGGUGUAAAGAGGGUGAGUGUACAGUCAUCUGGAAGCCAUGUCACAGAGAGGAGGGGAGAGAUUAAAAGGGAUCUGAAUAAGAGCAGGAUGGUGGGGCUUGAAAGGAUGGGAUGAACAUGAGAGACGUGAUGACACUGGUCAACAGAGAUCUCUCUAGGGAUGUCAACCAGAAAGGGAUGUAAUGUAGGAAAUUAGGUGUUUUUACACUUCUUUAGGAGGGCAAGAGAAACGGGCUCUGGGCUGAACUCCAGGAAUGAACAACAUUGCAGAAUGGCCCUCCUGGGAAUUGCACCCCUGACUCAACAGUAGUAGGGUAUCAGGAGACCACUUUUAGCACAAUAGAUUUCUGAAAGAACCCACCCUAGCUGAGGCAGGUACUGCGGUCACUGCAAGUACUAGCUGGAGAGCUAUGCUAGGCUGCUCCAUGUGCAACAGCAAAAUGUGUAGAGCCCAGCCCCUGCCUUGCAGCCCCCAUUGCAGCAGUGACUGGACACAGGAGCACCAUUGUGCUUGACAGCAGAAACCAGCAGAGAAAGAUCUCUUCCGCUUCAUCCUGCCCUUCAGAUUCCACACGAGUGCUUCUUAUGGGGGAUCUUAAUUCCAUUAAGAACCCGGUCUGGCUCUGUCAUCCAGGCUGGAGUGCAGUGACUCAAUCAUGGCUCACUGCAGCCUUAACUUCCGGACCUCAGGUGAUUCUCCCACCUCAGCCUGUCAAGUAGCUGGGACUACAGGUACACACCAUCAUUCACAGCUAAUUAUUUUGUUUUUUUUUUUUUUUAAAUAAAGACAGGGUUUCACCAUGUUGCCCAGGCUGGUCUCGAACUCAAGAACUGAGCUCAAGCAAUCUGCCUGCCUCCAUCUCCCAGACUGCUGGGACUACAGGUGCAAGCCACUGCACCCGGCUACUUUUUAAUUUUUCAAAAUACUGCAUUAAGAGUAUUUAUCUUGGCUGGGCGCGGUGGCUCACGCCUGUAAUCCCAG
RNAcentral lists this long non-coding RNA (4569 nucleotides) under Homo sapiens (human). RNAcentral's name for it is "HSALNT0113602". Lineage: Eukaryota; Metazoa; Chordata; Mammalia; Primates; Hominidae. The record is from RNAcentral.